AUAAUAUAUGUUUGCUUCUUCUUCUUGCGUCGAUCAACACACACACACACCCUACCGAUUGGAAAAUCCUUGUGUUUGCGAGCGAGUCUAUAUUUCUCGCCUCGGAUGAUUUGUUUUGUGUUAGAUUGAAUUAUCUUUGGCUGAUUGGUGUCGUGCGUAUGUGCUUACGGAAGCUGGUUUCUGUGAGUAAAUAGAUCUGAAGAGUAUGAACGAAGAUAGCUGCGUCCCUUACCUCUCUGAUGGUGGUAUCAAACAAAAGUCUAUAGAUCAAAGAUCGCCUCUUCCCGGGGAGCCUAAAUGUGUAAUCUGCUGUCGUUACGGUGAGUACAUUUGUGACGAGACCAAUGAUGACAUCUGCAGUCUCGAGUGUAAGCAAACACUUUUGAAGAAGACUAGAGUGUUUCCUGCCACUGAUGAGUGCUUCUAUGUUGGAUCUUCUUCCACCGAUUAUUAUUCUCUACGGCUUAGAAGCAAGCUUGAUAUUCAUGUCCAAGGAGCAGCAGUUCCUCCUCCUGUCCUCUCUUUCACCUCUUGUGGACUUCCUCCUAAGCUUCUUCUUAAUUUAGAAACGGCUGGUUAUGACUUUCCCACCCCUAUCCAGAUGCAAGCAAUUCCAGCUGCUUUAAGCGGCUCAAGUCUGCUCGCUUCGGCUCACACUGGCUCCGGCAAGACUGCUUCUUUUCUUGUUCCUAUUGUUUCUCGUUGUGCACGUUUUCGCUCUGAGCAUCCCUCCUCAGACCCCAGGAACCCCUUGGCUUUGGUUUUGGCUCCAACUAGAGAGCUCUGCGUCCAAGUUGAAGCUCAGGCUAAGAUGCUCGGAAAGGGACUCCCAUUUAAGACUGCACUUGUUGUAGGCGGGGAUCCCAUGUCUGGACAACUCUACCGCAUUCACCAAGGUGUAGAGUUGAUUAUUGGCACCCCAGGUCGGCUUGUAGACCUUCUAGCAAAGCACACCAUUGAACUAGAGGAUGUUAUGAUGUUUGUGCUGGAUGAGGUUGACUGCAUGCUCCAGAGAGGUUUCAUUGAUCAGGUGAUGCAGAUAUUUAGGGCUUUAUCACAACCGCAGGUCUUGCUGUUCUCAGCGACGGUCUCAAGGGAGGUGGAGAAGGUGGGAGGGUCUCUAGCCAAGGAAAUGAUUUUGGUGUCCAUAGGUAAACCCAACACACCUAGCAAAGCUGUCAAACAAUUGGCUAUAUGGGUUGAUGCAAAGCAAAAGAAACAGAAGCUCUUUGAGAUACUGACAAGUCAAAACCAUUUCAAACCCCCAGCUGUUGUUUAUGUGAGUUCGAGAGCUGGAGCAGAUCUCUUGGCUAAUGCUAUAACUGUGGUGACUGGGAUAAAAGCUCUAUCGAUCCAUGGGGAGAAGCCAAUGAGGGAGAGGAGAGAUGUAAUGGGGUCGUUUUUGGGUGGAGAGGUGCCGCUUCUUGUAUCAACUGGAGUUCUAGGCCGAGGAGUUGACCUGUUGGUAGUAAGGCAGGUAAUCGUGUUUGACAUGCCUAAUACCAUCAAGGAGUACAUACAUGUAAUUGGCAGGGCCUCUAGGAUGGGAGACCAGGGCAGUGCCAUUUUGUUUGUAAACGAGGAGAGCAGACAUCUGUUCCCUGAUUUGGUUGUGGCUUUAAAAAGUUGUGGAGCAGCCAUACCUAAGCAACUUACCAGUUUGACAUCAUCCAGGGAAAUGCACAGCAACAAGAAGAGGAGGGUUGGAUACUGAAAUGUAUGGCCUGGAUUCGAAUGUAUGUUGUAUUAAAAGCAAAGAAAGAAACGAAGACUUGAGAUACUGAGUAGGGGAUAUGGAGAAAAGGUUUACGUUGUUAAGAUUCAGAUUUUCAGAUGCCGAGGAGUGUGAAAUAAAAUCUUAUUUUGACAUAUUGGGUAAAAAAAGGUAGCAGAGACAAAGAACGCGGUUUUGUUACCCGCCAGCCAACUGCCAUUGUCUUAAUAAUGUGGUGAAAGAAAAAGCCAAACUUUGUUUUUGUUCAAUUGUUGAUCACAAAAAAAAAAAAAAAAAA
Molecule: RNA transcript, 2012 nt
Organism: Brassica rapa (field mustard)
Lineage: Eukaryota; Viridiplantae; Streptophyta; Magnoliopsida; Brassicales; Brassicaceae
Gene name: DEAD-box ATP-dependent RNA helicase 41
Source: RefSeq, a predicted model, not a curated record